UGGCUCAGUUGGUAGAGCAUGGUUUUUGCAACGCCAGGGUUGUGGGUUCGAUUCCCAC
Salmo salar (Atlantic salmon) is the source of this 58-nucleotide non-coding RNA. The record is from Rfam. NCBI's taxonomy places the organism in Eukaryota, Metazoa, Chordata, Actinopteri, Salmoniformes, Salmonidae.